CGGGACGGGUGAGUAAUGUCUGGGAAACUGCCUGAUGGAGGGGGAGAACUACUGGAAACGGUAGCUAAUACCGCAUAACGUCGCAAGACCAAAGAGGGGGACCUUCGGGCCUCUUGCCAUCGGAUGUGCCCAGAUGGGAUUAGCUAGUAGGUGGGGUAACGGCUCACCUAGGCGACGAUCCCUAGCUGGUCUGAGAGGAUGACCAGCCACACUGGAACUGAGACACGGUCCAG
This 233-nucleotide ribosomal RNA is filed under the name uncultured bacterium. Its description in RNAcentral is "partial 16S ribosomal RNA". It matches the Rfam family "Bacterial small subunit ribosomal RNA", at positions 100 to 334 of the family's 1533-position model. The record is from RNAcentral.